UACGUAGGUGGCAAGCGUUGUUCGGAAUUAUUGGGCGUAAAGGGCGCGUAGGCGGUUUGUUAAGUCAGUUGUGAAAGCCCGGGGCUCAACCCCGGAGGGUCGACUGAUACUGGCGGACUAGAGUACGGAAGAGGUAGCUGGAAUUCCCGGUGUAGCGGUGAAAUGCGUAGAUAUCAGGAGGAACACCGGUGGCGAAGGCGGGUCUCUGGGCCGAUACUGACGCUGAGGAGCGAAAGCGUGGGGAGCGAACAGG
RNAcentral lists this ribosomal RNA (253 nucleotides) under uncultured bacterium. RNAcentral's name for it is "partial 16S ribosomal RNA". It matches the Rfam family "Bacterial small subunit ribosomal RNA", at positions 524 to 776 of the family's 1533-position model. The record is from RNAcentral.